UUAUACUAACAUACCACCCUGAACAUACUCGCUCUUGUCUGAUUUUGGAAGCUAAGCAGGACCAGACCUGGUUAGGAGCUGGAUAGCAGAUCUCCAGGUGGGGAUACG
Molecule: ribosomal RNA, 108 nt
Filed under: Pogona vitticeps (central bearded dragon)
Lineage: Eukaryota; Metazoa; Chordata; Lepidosauria; Squamata; Agamidae
Source: RNAcentral